This 296-nucleotide long non-coding RNA is filed under the name Linum usitatissimum (flax). RNAcentral describes it as "long non-coding RNA (LUSI_LNC000900)". Lineage: Eukaryota; Viridiplantae; Streptophyta; Magnoliopsida; Malpighiales; Linaceae. The record is from RNAcentral.
UUCCAUCAUGAAGGCCUCCUGGUUAUUCCUCACCGGCGGCUCAUUCACCUAGAAGUUUCAACAUCAUUCGACGAAACAGAAUUCGAACAUGAAUCGAUCAGCACUUUCUCAAGAAACAAUUCUGAAGUGAAUAUGCCAUCCAAACACUGGAACAAAUAGCGACCCAAAGAAACAAUUGUGACGUGAAUUUUUCAUCCAAACACUAGAAAAUCCUAAUACGGGAAAAUUGUUUACCCUAGCAACGUUGACGAGGUGGGUCAAGUUAUCGACGAUGCUGGCGAUAUCUGUUUCCAGCC